UGCAGUCGACGCUUCUUUUCCCACCGGAGCUUGCUCCACCGGGAAAAGAGGAGUGGCGAACGGGUGAGUAACACGUGGGUAACCUGCCCAUCAGAAGGGGAUAACACUUGGAAACAGGUGCUAAUACCGUAUAACAAUCGAAACCGCAUGGUUUCGUUUUGAAAGGCGCUUUACGGUGCCGCUGAUGGAUGGACCCGCGGUGCAUUAGCUAGUUGGUGAGGUAACGGCUCACCAAGGCCACGAUGCAUAGCCGACCUGAGAGGGUGAUCGGCCACAUUGGGACUGAGACACGGCCCAAACUCCUACGGGAGGCAGCAGUAGGGAAUCUUCGGCAAUGGACGAAAGUCUGACCGAGCAACGCCGCGUGAGUGAAGAAGGUUUUCGGAUCGUAAAACUCUGUUGUUAGAGAAGAACAAGGGUGAGAGUAACUGUUCACCCCUUGACGGUAUCUAACCAGAAAGCCACGGCUAACUACGUGCCAGCAGCCGCGGUAAUACGUAGGUGGCAAGCGUUGUCCGGAUUUAUUGGGCGUAAAGCGAGCGCAGGCGGUUUCUUAAGUCUGAUGUGAAAGCCCCCGGCUCAACCGGGGAGGGUCAUUGGAAACUGGGAGACUUGAGUGCAGAAGAGGAGAGUGGAAUUCCAUGUGUAGCGGUGAAAUGCGUAGAUAUAUGGAGGAACACCAGUGGCGAAGGCGGCUCUCUGGUCUGUAACUGACGCUGAGGCUCGAAAGCGUGGGGAGCAAACAGGAUUAGAUACCCUGGUAGUCCACGCCGUAAACGAUGAGUGCUAAGUGUUGGAGGGUUUCCGCCCUUCAGUGCUGCAGCUAACGCAUUAAGCACUCCGCCUGGGGAGUACGACCGCAAGGUUGAAACUCAAAGGAAUUGACGGGGGCCCGCACAAGCGGUGGAGCAUGUGGUUUAAUUCGAAGCAACGCGAAGAACCUUACCAGGUCUUGACAUCCUUUGACCACUCUAGAGAUAGAGCUUCCCCUUCGGGGGCAAAGUGACAGGUGGUGCAUGGUUGUCGUCAGCUCGUGUCGUGAGAUGUUGGGUUAAGUCCCGCAACGAGCGCAACCCUUAUUGUUAGUUGCCAUCAUUUAGUUGGGCACUCUAGCAAGACUGCCGGUGACAAACCGGAGGAAGGUGGGGAUGACGUCAAAUCAUCAUGCCCCUUAUGACCUGGGCUACACACGUGCUACAAUGGGAAGUACAACGAGUCGCGAAGUCGCGAGGCUAAGCUAAUCUCUUAAAGCUUCUCUCAGUUCGGAUUGUAGGCUGCAACUCGCCUACAUGAAGCCGGAAUCGCUAGUAAUCGCGGAUCAGCACGCCGCGGUGAAUACGUUCCCGGGCCUUGUACACACCGCCCGUCACACCACGAGAGUUUGUAACACCCGAAGUCGGUGAGGUAACCUUUUUGGAGCCAGCC
Molecule: ribosomal RNA, 1425 nt
Filed under: bacterium
Lineage: Bacteria
Description: bacterial SSU rRNA
Rfam family: Bacterial small subunit ribosomal RNA
Source: RNAcentral